UUACUUAAUAUCUUAUUAAUUUAUUUGAGAUUCAACAAUAAAUAUAAAUAUAACAACAACAAAUUGAAUAAAACAAUAUACAAUUCUUUAAGUACAGAGUACCUAAUAAUAUAUACUACAUAGUAUAUAAACUGUAUUGACAAAAUGUAUGCAAGUUUAGUUUCAUAACAAAUAUAUUAUAAUACAUAAAAAUAACUUAAAGGUGGUUGUUUUCUUGCUUUUUUGUUUGCAAAUCAGUCAAUCACUUUCUCCAGAUUAAGUUGACAAGCUAUUAUUUUUUCAAUUGAUAUGGUAGCCAGAGCUAAGACGGUGUUGUAACAUGCUGCUUUUUAAAUAAGUUUUGAUUAAUUUUAGUUUUGAAAAACUUCGUUCUCCUGUUGCUGUCGUCACCAGUAAAGUUAAAAAAAAUGAGGUAUGCUGCAAUAAUGUUGGAGAAGGUACUUGAUGCUGCGAUGUGAAUUAAUAGUAGUUCAGCAACUUCAUGUAUAGAAGUAAUUUCUAUUUACCUGAGUAUAAAAACACAUUUUAAACUGAAGCAGUUGAGGUUCAAAACUAGGCGAAAUUUUGGAAGGAUUUGCCAAUUGUAACAACUCUUAUCCUUCCAGAAUAUUUUUAUCAGAUGAUGCAACAAGAUAUGCAGUUUUAUUUUGCCCUUUCUAAACUUGGCACCCUCAUGAUUCAUACACCUGGAACAGUUUGCUCCAACUGCUCCACGGAAUGGUAUCAUGGGAUCUGCAAUUUGUACAUUUAGUCUAAGCUCUAUUCAAGAAGUUUUCAAUGGGAAGUUUAAAGAUCAAGCAACAUCAUCAUC
Centruroides sculpturatus (bark scorpion) is the source of this 811-nucleotide long non-coding RNA. RefSeq lists it as uncharacterized. The record is from RefSeq and is a predicted model, not a curated record. The transcript has 3 exons. Lineage: Eukaryota; Metazoa; Arthropoda; Arachnida; Scorpiones; Buthidae.